RNAcentral lists this ribosomal RNA (606 nucleotides) under Escherichia coli. Its description in RNAcentral is "partial 23S ribosomal RNA". It matches the Rfam family "Bacterial large subunit ribosomal RNA", at positions 375 to 985 of the family's 2925-position model. Lineage: Bacteria; Pseudomonadati; Pseudomonadota; Gammaproteobacteria; Enterobacterales; Enterobacteriaceae. The record is from RNAcentral.
GUACACAAAAAUGCACAUAUUGUGAGCUCGAUGAGUAGGGCGGGACACGUGGUAUCCUGUCUGAAUAUGGGGGGACCAUCCUCCAAGGCUAAAUACUCCUGACUGACCGAUAGUGAACCAGUACCGUGAGGGAAAGGCGAAAAGAACCCCGGCGAGGGGAGUGAAAAAGAACCUGAAACCGUGUACGUACAAGCAGUGGGAGCCUCUUUAUGGGGUGACUGCGUACCUUUUGUAUAAUGGGUCAGCGACUUAUAUUCUGUAGCAAGGUUAACCGAAUAGGGGAGCCGAAGGGAAACCGAGUCUUAACUGGGCGUUAAGUUGCAGGGUAUAGACCCGAAACCCGGUGAUCUAGCCAUGGGCAGGUUGAAGGUUGGGUAACACUAACUGGAGGACCGAACCGACUAAUGUUGAAAAAUUAGCGGAUGACUUGUGGCUGGGGGUGAAAGGCCAAUCAAACCGGGAGAUAGCUGGUUCUCCCCGAAAGCUAUUUAGGUAGCGCCUCGUGAAUUCAUCUCCGGGGGUAGAGCACUGUUUCGGCAAGGGGGUCAUCCCGACUUACCAACCCGAUGCAAACUGCGAAUACCGGAGAAUGUUAUCACGGGAGAC